Molecule: ribosomal RNA, 464 nt
Filed under: uncultured bacterium
Lineage: Bacteria
Description: partial 16S ribosomal RNA
Rfam family: Bacterial small subunit ribosomal RNA
Source: RNAcentral
CUACGAGUCGCUCCAGUGGGGAAUAUUGCACAAUGGGCGCAAGCCUGAUGCAGCCAUGCCGCGUGUAUGAAGAAGGCCUUCGGGUUGUAAAGUACUUUCAGCGGGGAGGAAGGGAGUAAAGUUAAUACCUUUGCUCAUUGACGUUACCCGCAGAAGAAGCACCGGCUAACUCCGUGCCAGCAGCCGCGGUAAUACGGAGGGUGCAAGCGUUAAUCGGAAUUACUGGGCGUAAAGCGCACGCAGGCGGUUUGUUAAGUCAGAUGUGAAAUCCCCGGGCUCAACCUGGGAACUGCAUCUGAUACUGGCAAGCUGGAGUCUCGUAGAGGGGGGUAGAAUUCCAGGUGUAGCGGUGAAAUGCGUAGAGAUCUGGAGGAAUACCGGUGGCGAAGGCGGCCCCCUGGAUGAAGACUGACGCUCAGGUGCGAAAGCGUGGGGAGCAAACAGGAUUAGAUACCCCGGUAGUC